UUGGGUUGGCCCAAAAGUUCAUUCGAGCUUUUCCUUAAUAUCCUACGGAAACCCGAACGAACUUUUGGGCCAACUCAG
Molecule: microRNA precursor, 78 nt
Organism: Bison bison bison
Lineage: Eukaryota; Metazoa; Chordata; Mammalia; Artiodactyla; Bovidae
Source: Ensembl